This 28-nucleotide non-coding RNA is filed under the name Homo sapiens (human). The record is from RNAcentral. Lineage: Eukaryota; Metazoa; Chordata; Mammalia; Primates; Hominidae.
UGCCAUUCCAUCCAGGGGCAGUGGCAAC